GCAGUAGCCGCGGUAAUACCAGCACCUCGAGUGGUCAGGAGGUUUAUUGGGCCUAAAGCAUCCGUAGCCGGUUGCAUAAGUUUUCGGUUAAAUCUAUGCGCUUAACGUAUAGGCCGCCGAAAAUACUGUGCAGCUAGGGAGUGGGAGAGGUACACGGUACUCGAUAGGAAGGGGUAAAAUCCUUUGAUCUAUUGAUGACCACCUGUGGCGAAGGCGGUGUACCAGAACACGUUCGACGGUGAGGGAUGAAAGCUGGGGGAGCAAACCGGAUUAGAUACCCCCGUAGUCCCUGUCUCUUAUAA
This 302-nucleotide ribosomal RNA is filed under the name uncultured bacterium. RNAcentral's name for it is "partial 16S ribosomal RNA". It matches the Rfam family "Archaeal small subunit ribosomal RNA", at positions 458 to 760 of the family's 1478-position model. The record is from RNAcentral.